Cyprinus carpio (common carp) is the source of this 1315-nucleotide long non-coding RNA. The record is from Ensembl. Lineage: Eukaryota; Metazoa; Chordata; Actinopteri; Cypriniformes; Cyprinidae.
CAACGAGGCAUGCAGUAGGAGGUAGUUUUAUUUUACCUAUAGGAAAAACCAAAUCAAUUCAACGUUCAGUAAGGUAUAGAGCAAUGUGUAAAUGGAACUCUCUCCCAAAUACUAUUAAACAACAAAACACUCUGUAUGGUUUCAAAAAAUCACUUAAGAAAUAUUACCUUCAAAGAAACAUAUACAGUUAAUAUUAAUUUAAGGAGAUACCGUUAUUGUCAGGAUAGUCACUGGAGGCAGAGGUAAGUGAAUUUAACACAAUGUUUAUUUUUCUCAAGAAUUAGUGCAAAGUGAGUAGAAGGUGAUUUCAGGUGCGGAUUCUGUGAAGAUCACUCGGUGAGAGGUGGGGUUCAGGUGAGUACGUCCAGAGACGAAAGGUCAAUGCCACACUAUCCCAGAUAACUAAUGCUUGUCCUUUUCCUUCUGUAUUAGGAGAAGAUCUGUCCAGCGAGCUUGCCCGGCACACACGAGACACCAGAGAUCGAAGAGGAAUCAGGUAACUAAGAUUGAUCAGGAAUCCUGGAGACAGUAGCACAAUGACACAGAGGUUAGGUUUUCAAAAGUACGUAUACGUUACGUCGUGGAGCUCUUUGGAUGCGAGGCAGGCUGGGAACGGAACCAUGAGGUCGGUUCCUGUUGGAGGCUUGACGGUGAACUGAUGCUGAGGGUCGUUUCCGGAGGAUCUGAACAUGCUUCUGCAGGAGGCCAAGGACAGAAAGUGGCCGUUCAUCAAGGAGAAAUGGCAGUACAAACAAUCCAGGUAAACUGCAGAAAUCGGAGUUCAUUCUCAGCAGUCUGAUCAGUAAUAACGCUUAUUUGUCCGUCUCUGCUGUGAAAAUUCAGCAUGCUGUUUCUGAUGAUUCAGGCUUGUGGAUAUAUCAGAAGAGCAGUGAUCAGACACUAGUGCAAGCCGUCAGUCUGCAGAUGCUGGGUGAGGUUUAGAGAAACUAAGGGUCUUGAGCAUCAAAACUGGGCUGUUAAACCUGUUUCACUCAAUCUAAUUAGCCUAAUUGUACAAACCUCCAGCUUCAGCUGCUGCUUCUGGUGUCAGAUCUUGAGUGAUUUUGAUCAAGUAAAGGUCAGAAUAACUGAAGUAAUAUCUACAGAUGAACUCUUACUGGCAUGAAGCAGCUCAGCUUUCCUUGAUUCUCCAUCAAUCAUGUUUUAGUGUCUCAAAUCUGAUCAUCAGGAUCUUUUGAGGAGCGUUUGUUUCCAGAAGCUUUACUUUCACUGUUCCUCAGUGGAGGAAUGAUCUUCACAAGCCUCCAGAACAUCUCACAUCUUCUGAGGAGCCUUUAUUUCUUCAUCUCUCAAU